RNAcentral lists this unclassified non-coding RNA (211 nucleotides) under Hevea brasiliensis (rubber tree). Lineage: Eukaryota; Viridiplantae; Streptophyta; Magnoliopsida; Malpighiales; Euphorbiaceae. The record is from RNAcentral.
GAUAAGAAAUGAGUAAAGGGAGUAAACAAAUAUUCUUUUGCAUUGUCACCACGAAGUAUUUUAAUAGAAACACCGAAUUGAUUACGUAUUUCAGUAGAAAAUUUUUGAAAUAUAUAGAAUAAUUCAGAACGAGUCUUCAUUAAAAAUAACCAAGUGCAACAAGAAUAAUUAUCAACAAAAGUAACAGAAUAAUGAAAUCCCAAAGUUGUAC